This 253-nucleotide ribosomal RNA is filed under the name uncultured bacterium. RNAcentral describes it as "partial 16S ribosomal RNA". It matches the Rfam family "Bacterial small subunit ribosomal RNA", at positions 524 to 776 of the family's 1533-position model. The record is from RNAcentral.
GACGUGAGUGGCGAGCGUUAUCCGGAAUUACUGGGCGUAAAGCGCGCGUAGGCGGUUAUGUAAGUCAGAGGUGAAAAGUCAGGGCUUAACCUUGGCCUUGCCUUUGAAACUACAUGACUAGAGUACUGGAUAGGAGGGCGGAACUACAAGUGUAGCGGUGGAAUGCGUAGAUAUUUGUAGGAAUGCCGAUGACGAAGGUAGCUCUCUGGACAGAUACUGACGCUGAGGUGCGAAAGCUAGGGGAGCAAACAGG